CCUACUAAUAUGUUUAAAAAUGUAUAAAAUGAAUUAUAAUCGAUAUAAUCGAUUUAACACAGGAUUUAGAGUACAUUUUAAAAAAUUCAGUAAAAGGAUAUAGUAUUUUAUCUACGUACGCAUUUCAAGAAGAAUUAGACGAAAAAUGCAGAAAUAUAUUGGCUGAUAUUGUUCAUUAUGAACUUAAGAAUAACUUAGAUACUCGAAUUACUUCUGAACGCGCAAAAUUUAUUGCGGAGAAAAUAAUCGGGUUAUUUCCUAAAGAAGAUAGAAAAACACUUGGGUAGAAGAAGAAUGGAAGAAUGAAGAGAAGAAUGGAAAAAGUAUUGGAAGAAGCAAAAUUUUAAUAAAAUUUCAAACCAUACGAAGAAAUCUAAUUAAAGCUGGAGCGAUUAAAAGACAAGGACAGAAUGAGAAAGAAAGAGAAGGAACCGAUGUUUGUAUAUCAGAAGUUACCAGAUAAUACCGAUUGCGAAAAAUAUAUUUUAUGAUUGCAAAAUAAUGAUAAACCAUGGAUAAAAGUUACUCAAUUAUGGGAGAAAACUUCGAAAAUUCGAUUAAAAUGUUUACGAUCAGAGGAACAAAAUAUCCAAGAUUAUUUUAAACUCUAUUCUGCUUUAGAGGAACCUCAAGGAUAUACUUUAGUAAAAUUAUAUAAAAAUAAUUUUUGUCUUAUAUUUCUUUUUUAGCAUUCAUUUUAUAUUCUAACAUUUUUGUUUAUCUUUUUAUUAUACUUCUUUCGUUAAAGAUUUUGUGAAUUUUUAUAUUUUUUUAUUUCAAGUUUACAAUUUCACUUUAUUUACAAUUUUAUAUGUCUUAUAUUAUUUUCUCUCAAUGUUAGCUAGAAAAAGACUUUGAAGCAUUAUAUCCUGAUACUGUAAUGAAAUUAUACGUUGAAUGGUCUAAAUUAUCAGCUUUUAUAAAAAAAAAAUGGGUUAACAUAGAUUCAGCAUUCAAAGUAUAUUCAGAUCCAUCUAUAGUAAAAUUAUAUAUAAUUUAUCGUAAAAAUUAAUCCUAUUUUAUAGUAUAAUUUUUCUCAAAUUAUUAAAUAUUUGCAUGCUGUUUCUAGUAAAUAUUCAUUAUGAUUAAUGUUGUAACAUCUCGUACUAUUUCAUUCUGUAAAUAAUAAUAAACUUACAUAAUAAGUUAAGCUAAAACGUUUCUGUGUUUACAGAUAAAAAACAGUUCAACUUCUAUUAAAAUUAUCUUCUCUUUUUCCUGUAUAUACAGUACUUGCAGGAAAAGGUAAAAGUGGAAACUGGCGGCCGUCACUAUGUGAAAAACGAAAAGCCUUUCUAUGGCGAAUUGAGGCAAAUAUGUUAUUUAUCAUAAAUUUGCUAUGUAGGGUGUAUUUAAAUAAUUGUAAAUAAUUUUAAGCAGUUAUAUAUAUGGUAUAUUUGUUUAUAUAUAGAGUCAGUCAGUAACUAUUGUCACCUGAAAUAUCUUCCGAAGCAAAAGAUGUAAGAAUGAUCUUCAAAUCUUCGAAGUUACUUAGAAAAAAAAGCAUGUUAUAACGGUAAAACUUUUUUCUAAGUCAAAUAAUUUCGAAGAUCUGAAGAUCUUUGUCUUUUACUUCGAAGAUAUUGCAAGUGACAGUAAUUACUGACUUACACUAUAUAUAAUUCUAUAUUAUAUAAAUAUAUUAAAGCUUUUACAAUUUUUCUUUAUGUAUAUAUAUAAUUCUAAAUAUAUUAAAGCUUUUACAAUUUUUCUUUAUGUAAUUUAUGUGAUUUGUUUUGUACGUAUUUCUUUUUAUUUAUAAACAUAUGGUGAUUUGACGCGAAAAUAUACGAAAAGAGAGAGAAAUUAAAUACAUUCAAGUUAACAUUACAAUCGCAGGCUAUCAUUAUAGGCUCAUCAGAUAUCGAUAUACGGCGUAGUUUUGUCAUUGUUAAUAAUCAACAUUAUGAACUCGAAACUCCUUUAAAAGCUAUUGAUAUUACAUUUAAGUGUAUUCACAGUCUACAUAUCCCAAAGAAAGCGAACAAGUUUUUCUUUUUCUACAAAUACAUAUUUAUGGCAUUAAGACAAAAUAUGAUAAGAAAUUUAGUACUUUGAUCAAAGGAAAUUUUUCUUUGUAAAAGUAACUUUCUCAGAGUAUUUUCUUUAUUUUUCAUAUUUCUUCUCUUUCUUUAAUAUUAUUACAGUAUUCCAUUUAGUAUUCAAAGUUUAAAUGGAAAAAAAUAUUUUAAUAUAUGGUUAUAUUUAUAAAAUAGUUUUAUUAAUACAUAUAAAGUAUUAAAUAGAACCUUGGUAAUGAUAUCCAUAAUAAAAGAAAUAUUUUUAAUUUAUAUUAACAGAGACAUCGAUUAAUCAAGAUGCCGAUUUGUUUUAUAUGUAAAGAAGAAGUUGAGAAUAUUAAACUUUUGCGCAUUCAUUUCGAAUAUAAACAUAAAGAAAUCAAAUAUUAUGAAUGUAUUGAAAUACAUUGUCAUAGAAAAUUCGAUACUUAUAAAUCUUUAAAAAAGCAUUUAAAUUCAUAUCACAAUAUCAAAUAACCAGAAAGAUAUAAAAAUCAGGAGAAAAGACCAAAUAAUGAGCAAACUAUUAAUUGCACAAAUAAUAUAGAUUUUUAUUAUAAUAAUUUUUUGGAAAUUUAUAGUUUUGAUUCGUCUGAUUUUGAUAACUCAUUGAAUCACGACAAUUCUGUUAAUGUUGAAGAACAUACAAUGAAUAAAGUUGCUUCUUUCUUUGCAAAACUAUUAUACUAUAAUUAUGGUCUUCCGCGAAAUUAUGUCCAAAAUCUAUAUAAAGACAUUCAAAAACUUUUUAUUAACGAUUGUCUUAAAAAAGCUGAAAAUUUCCUUACUUCCAUUGAAAAUGUAAAUGACAGUAAGAUAGUUAUAGACAAAAUUCAAUUACUUUGUAAAGAUUAUAAGGAUUCUUUUGAAUCGAUGUCAACAGAAUAUCGUAGAAUUAAAUACGAACAGUGGACAAUAUGUGGCUCCGCAAUCAUAUAUUAUUCGAAAUGGCACUGAACGAGUUAUUAGUGAAACAAGACAAUAUAUUCCAUUAAGACAUAUGUUGGAACGUUUUUUCAAAAUUCCUCAUGCUUUGGAAGAUAUACUUUCAAAUAUGAAUUCCUUAAUAAAUUCUGUAGAUAAGAUAUAUAGUUAUAUUCAAACUGAUACAUGGAAGCGUAAAAUAUCAUUUUAUAAGUCAGAUGAUAUUGUUUUGCCUUUAAUCUUUUAUUUCAAUUACUCCGAAUCAAGUAAUCCACUUCGUCCUAAAUCUGGUAAACUUGGUGUAGUCUACGCGGAGUUGCUUUAUCUUUCUCCUGAAUGUGAAUUUAAUUCUGAUAAUAUAUUUCUUGUAUUGUUAGUUUUUGAAAGUAUUAGUAGAAAAAUUUUUGGUAAUAAGAAAAUUUUUGUUCUCUUAAUUGAUGAAUUUAAUUUUUUGGCAAAUGAAGGAAUUUCUGUAACAACAAUGGACAGAGAGAUAAAAAAAUAUAUUUUACUACAGAAUUUUGUACUGGUGACAAUUUAGGAAUUAAUUCAAUGUUUGGUUUUGUAGAAAGUUUUAAUGCUCAUUAUUAUUGUAGAAUUUGUAAAAAUUCGAAACAAAAUAUGCAAAUUCAAUAUAAAGAUAAUAUAUCAUACCAACGAAGUCCACAAAAUUACGAACAGGAUGUUGUUAGAAAAAACGAAAAAUUAACAGGAAUAAAAGAAAGAAGCAUCUUUAAUAAAUUAAAAAAUUUUCAUGUGACUUGAAUUCUGCUUUAGAUUCAAUGCAUGAUCUCGCCGAAGGGAUAUGCCAUUAUGACAUGUGUUACAUAAUAAAACAUUGCAUAGAAUGUGAUUACUUCAGUCUCGAUCAACUAAAUUCUCGAAUGUCUGUGUUUAAUUAUGGACUUAUUGAUAAAUCGUCAGAACUUCUAUUUAUUUUUAAAAAGCAUCUAGAUAGUUUAACAUUAAAAAUGACUGCUACCCAAACAUUAUGUUUUGUAAAAUAUUUUGAUCUUUUGAUUGGUGACCUGGUUCCUGAUAAUGAUCCUUUUUGAUUGUUAUAUAAACUUUUAAGAGAUAUUCUUGAUAUUAUCCUCGCGAAAAGUAUUAACAAAGCUUAUCCUAAUAUUUUGCAAGUACUUGUAAAUGAACAUCAUAAAUUAUAUCUCCAAAUAACAAACGAUAAUUUGAAACUAAAAUAUCAUGCACUUGUUCAUUAUCCUAAUUUUAUGAAAAAAGCAGGACCUGUGAGUCAGUUUUCAUGCUUCAAAUUCGAAGCAAAACAUAAGUUUCUUAAAAAAUCGGCUUCUAUAAACUCAUGUAAGAAAAAUAAAGCUUAUUCAGUUACUGUAAAAUAUCAACUGCACAUACGUUACAGAUUUCUAAGUUCUUCUUUUAUUUUGCAAACUUUUUCAAUUGGACCCAUAAAAAAGAUGGAUAGAUUUGAAAAGAUUCAGGUUUUAGCUUCUUUGCCUAACAAUAUUAAAUAUAAUUCAAACUUGAAAAUUCUUAAAUGGAUAAAUUACAAGGGAACUUGUUUUCGUGAAUUUCAUUGUUGUUAUUGACGAAAGUAAGUCAGGACCAUUAUUUGGUUAAAUUGCUGCUAUAAUUGUAUGUCAAAAUAUUGUGAUAUUCCAUUGCGAGUUUUAAUUACUAUAGGUUUUAAUUACUAUAGGAUUUAAUGAACACGUUCGAGGUUACGAAGUACAAUUUUCUGGGUCUAAAAGAAACGUAAACAUAAAUGAUCUUUGUGAUCCACUGCCAUUAAGUCUGAAUGCAAAUGUAUGUAAUGAAAACUAUGUUAUU
This is a long non-coding RNA of Odontomachus brunneus, 4751 nucleotides long. RefSeq lists it as uncharacterized. The record is from RefSeq and is a predicted model, not a curated record. Lineage: Eukaryota; Metazoa; Arthropoda; Insecta; Hymenoptera; Formicidae. The transcript has 4 exons.